UAGGGAAUCUUCCACAAUGGGCGCAAGCCUGAUGGAGCAACACCGCGUGAGUGAAGAAGGGUUUCGGCUCGUAAAGCUCUGUUGUUGGAGAAGAACGUGCGUGAGAGUAACUGUUCACGCAGUGACGGUAUCCAACCAGAGAGUCACGGCUAAAUACGUGCC
This 162-nucleotide ribosomal RNA is filed under the name uncultured bacterium. RNAcentral describes it as "partial 16S ribosomal RNA". It matches the Rfam family "Bacterial small subunit ribosomal RNA", at positions 355 to 509 of the family's 1533-position model. The record is from RNAcentral.